GUGGGGAAUCUUGCGCAAUGGGCGAAAGCCUGACGCAGCGACGCCGCGUGCGGGAAGAAGGCCUUCGGGUUGUAAACCGCUUUCAGGAGGGACGAAGCCACUCGGGUAAAUAGCCUAGAGGGUGACGGUACCUCCAGAAGAAGCCCCGGCUAACUACGUGCCAGCAGCCGCGGUAAUACGUAGGGGGCUAGCGUUGUCCGGAUUUAUUGGGCGUAAAGAGCGUGUAGGCGGCCAAGUAGGUCCGGUGUGAAAACUCGAGGCUUAACCUCGAGAUGUCAUCGGAAACCAUUUGGCUAGAGUCCGGAAGAGGAAAGUGGAAUUCCUGGUGUAGCGGUGAAAUGCGCAGAUAUCAGGAAGAACACCAAUGGCGAAAGCAGCUUUCUGGGACGGUACUGACGCUGAGACGCGAAAGCGUGGGGAGCGAACAGGAUUAGAUACCCUAGUAGUCC
This 449-nucleotide ribosomal RNA is filed under the name uncultured bacterium. RNAcentral's name for it is "bacterial SSU rRNA". It matches the Rfam family "Bacterial small subunit ribosomal RNA", at positions 354 to 796 of the family's 1533-position model. The record is from RNAcentral.